This 109-nucleotide small nucleolar RNA is filed under the name Giardia duodenalis. Its description in RNAcentral is "Giardia intestinalis GLsR22 small nucleolar RNA". It matches the Rfam family "Small nucleolar RNA GlsR18", at positions 42 to 147 of the family's 147-position model. Lineage: Eukaryota; Fornicata; Diplomonadida; Hexamitidae. The record is from RNAcentral.
CGUGGCCGGUGCAGCUGCCCGCUGGCGCUUGCGAGCGUGCACAGGCCUACAUCCAGGGUCAUAGGUGGGGAGCGGAUCCCGUCCAUCCUCAAUCCGGGCCCGCACAGUC